AGGGUUUGAUCAUGGCUCAGAAUCAACGCUGGCGGCGUGCCUAACACAUGCAAGUCGAACGCGAAAGUCCCGCAAGGGAUCAGUAGAGUGGCAAACGGGUGAGUAACACGUGGGUGACCUGCCUUCGAGUGGGGGAUAACGUCCCGAAAGGGACGCUAAUACCGCAUGACAUCCUGCUUUUUAAGAGGCGGAGAUCAAAGCUGGGGAUCGCAAGACCUAGCGCUUGAAGAGGGGCCCGCGCCCGAUUAGCUAGUUGGUGGGGUAAUGGCCUACCAAGGCAACGAUCGGUAGCCGGCCUGAGAGGGCGGACGGCCACACCGGGACUGAGACACGGCCCAGACUCCUACGGGAGGCAGCAGUGGGGAAUUGUUCGCAAUGGGCGCAAGCCUGACGACGCAACGCCGCGUGGAGGAUGAAGAUCUUCGGGUCGUAAACUCCUUUCGAUCGAGACGAAUUCUCCGGGGGUGAACAGUCCCCGGAGGUGACGGUACCGAGAGAAGAAGCCCCGGCUAACUCCGUGCCAGCAGCCGCGGUAAUACGGGGGGGGCAAGCGUUGUUCGGAAUUACUGGGCGUGAAGGGCUCGUAGGCGGCCAACUAAGUCGGACGUGAAAUCCCUCGGCUCAACCGGGGAACUGCGUCCGAUACUGGAUGGCUUGAGUUCGGGAGAGGGAUGCGGAAUUCCAGGUGUAGCGGUGAAAUGCGUAGAUAUCUGGAGGAACACCGGUGGCGAAGGCGGCAUCCUGGACCGGCACUGACGCUGAGGAGCGAAAGCCAGGGGAGCAAACGGGAUUAGAUACCCCGGUAGUCCUGGCCCUAAACGAUGAAUGCUUGGUGUGGCGGGUAUCGAUCCCUGCCGU
Molecule: ribosomal RNA, 858 nt
Filed under: uncultured Acidobacteriota bacterium
Lineage: Bacteria; Pseudomonadati; Acidobacteriota
Description: bacterial SSU rRNA
Rfam family: Bacterial small subunit ribosomal RNA
Source: RNAcentral